GAGGACGCCAAUACUAACCUGCUAACUUAGUACACCAGCAUUAAAAUGCUGGCAUCCUC
This 59-nucleotide transfer RNA is filed under the name Paroedura lohatsara. RNAcentral's name for it is "tRNA-Ser". The record is from RNAcentral. Lineage: Eukaryota; Metazoa; Chordata; Lepidosauria; Squamata; Gekkonidae.